Molecule: non-coding RNA, 2930 nt
Organism: Misgurnus anguillicaudatus (oriental weatherfish)
Lineage: Eukaryota; Metazoa; Chordata; Actinopteri; Cypriniformes; Cobitidae
Source: RefSeq, a predicted model, not a curated record
GGGGAAUCGAACCCCGGUCUUCCGCGCGGCCGCUGUGAAUUCUUUAGCUAAACGUCCCUAAACCGAAUCCCAUUCAUUUUCAAUGGUAGUGCUAAAACACUACGGAUGCAAUAUAUUUUCGGCCACUGGCGCUCUCGCGGCGCACUUCCGUGUUUUGCAUAGCCGGGAAAUUUGAGUCAUUUUAACUUCCUCGUUGGAAAGACAACUCUGCAAUCCUGCUUUACUUCUCAAAGGUCAUCAUGCACAAAAAGGUAGUUUUCUCCCAGAAAGGGCUAAAGUUGCAUUCCGUAAGGGACCACUGGGUUAUCUUCUUCAGGAACCAACUGACCAGGCCAGGGUUAUCAAAAACAACCCGUCUCUGAAGGACAAAUCAGCACCAAUAAAGGAGGAGCUUGUUAGACAAAAUGCUUUGACUGUGGUACUUCAAGGAGGAGGUGAUGCAUCAGACAAAAAAUAAGUAUUUGGUGAAUACAUUCUGCAGUUUGGCAAACGCAACACAGAAUUAUAAGCUGCAGCAAUACCUACUGAGACAGCAGCAACAGUCAGGUGACUGUUCAUCUGUGGUUACCCACAGAAAUGGAUGAAGACACAGAGUUUGAGUGUUCAAUGCUGAGCAUCACCCCCUCUAAACUACAGGUACCAUCAUCAUCAUCCUCAACAACUGAAGUGAGAUGCUCUAUGGAAAAAGGAAAAGGGUUUCGUUUUGGCCAUGUUUCAUUAACAAUAGUGUGUGUGCCGUUGGCAUUAUACUAACAGUUCAGGAGGCUGUAGAUUGAUUUCAUCCCUAUCAUGAAUUGAUACAAACCCUGUUCAGGAACCUCCUGCUUUCCUAUCAAAGCCUUGUGAUGACACUAUAAACUCACCAGUCUAUGAGCUGAUGUUUCUUGAGUAAGAACCAUCACCUUUCACACAAUCAAAGAAAAGUGUUUCAGCUACAGGAGAGCACAGCGUUGUAGACAACUUUCUUGCACGCAGGACACUUACUUUUGAGGACUGUGGCAAAAACGUUUUUAGAAACUCUCUCAUCUUCAGGAACCACAUCACGUAGUGUCCCACAAACAGCAGAGGCAUCACAUGAUCCAUGAUCCUCUGCUUCUGGUUCUUCUGUGCGCAGCCCACCAUCUCUGCAUUAGAAAGUUCAAAACACAUGAACCCUUUCUAAAGCUUCUCCACAUCUUCCUGACUAUGAUCAUGAUGUGCUUCACUGGAAUUGUUCUCAUCAGCAGAGGAUCUGGAUGAAAACAUAGCUGGAAUAAAUGGGUCUAUGGCCAGGCUCCACUCCUGUGAGCAACCCUAUGAAGACCGUGUCACUGUGGCGUUUACCUCCUCAGCCAGAGCUGAUAGACACAGCCAUGUACCAGGGCCUAGCAAACCAGUACAAAAUUGCAGAUGUGGAGAAGGCACAGUACCAGUGGGUAGACAGGGAUUGCUGUGCAGCAUUAAGAGUGCCAGAACUUCAGGCAAGAGAACACCUGAACUGGAAAGCUUGGAAGACUACAGAUGCCAUUAUUGCUGAGGGUGCUUCUGGUGACUUUCACAUGUGCAUCAAGGUCUCACUUUAAUCAACACAUCAUAAUCAAGCUGGAAGUUGAUGUCACAGAGGGACAUCACAGCAGGAGGGCUACCACUUCCACCAGGCUCAAUGGAUCACUGGCACACGUGUUUCCUCAGAGCUGUUUCAAACACAGGGGAUGAUUGGAGUGGCCCGCUGAAACGUCUGGUGGACCUAAAACCAUUGGGUGUUAAUCUCCCUGGUGUGUUUGACUCAUCUCUUAUUGCAGACAUCAAUACCGUGUCUAGAGAGGGUGUUAGGCAUGCCUAAGUAUCUUGCUCUUCAGGUAUCCAACAAAGAUUCUCAGGAGAGGUUUGAGUUUGUUGAACCUGGAUGUCGUCCUGUUGUGCUUUAUUGGAGAAAGCACAGGAGCAAGACAGAUCUGCCUUUGCAUCCAGCUAAGCGUAGCCCAAGCCCACUGCCCAGGCUGGAGACCUUUCUGCUGAUCUUGUUGUGCCAUCAAGUCAUGAUGAGCCAGUGUCAGGAUUACCACCAUUGAUGUGCCCUUGCUGUCCUCAUAUCAUUGUGCUGAUGUAGAGCUGCAGUCAAAACCAGGUUGUUGAUGAAAGUGCUAUUAUUCUUGUUGAAUCCAUUGACGUGCUGCCUGUGCCAUCGGUGUCAUUGCCUUAAAGUGCCUGCAUAAAGCCUCAGACAGAGAUAGAAACCACACAUAUUCCCCUGCUGCCCGUAGUGGCCUCACCUGCAAAGGCCCGUACCGGAAUAGUGAAGACUGGUGGGAGGGUGUUUGUUCUAGACCACAAACGAUGGACAUCCCCAAUAAAGGAGGCCAUUGACAAAUUGCUUAACAAACAUCAUGAGAAGAAGGACAUCCUUAAGCUUGUGGAUCAGCAGUAUGCAGCAAUGGUUCAAAACUCCUGCACUGAUCCAAACACCAUGCUCCAUCUAAAAACUAAACUACACAUUUCACAAUAUAUUAAGCACUAAGCCAAACUGCUGAACACCAGUUCUUUUUUAAACACCAGUGAUGAGAAACUUAAUCAGAGACAGCACCUCUGACACUCCCUGACAGAGGGGAGUGAGACCACCAGUGUGCCAGUGGUAACAAUGAACUCUGCCAUUCCAAACCCACCUGCACCUGCUCUGACCACACCAAUUACUCAAGAGACCAUCGAGAAAGUAGUUGAGGGUAUUAUGGAGAGGAAUCAACAACAACAACAGCCAGAGCAGAAGAAAAAGCAGACAAAGAUGUGUCUUGCCUGUGGACAGCCAAAGUCUCACUAUGAUAGAGAUGGCUUCUCUAUUAAUUUUUUUAUCAGCAAGCCCCUGUUGGGUAUUUUUACUGCUCUACAAAGGUGUUUAAAGCUUAUAGCAUUGAGUGACUAACAAUGAGUAAUAUUCCCUUGGCAAGACAUUUUGC